This is a non-coding RNA of Rhodocollybia butyracea, 95 nucleotides long. The record is from the annotation of a GenBank genome assembly. NCBI's taxonomy places the organism in Eukaryota, Fungi, Basidiomycota, Agaricomycetes, Agaricales, Omphalotaceae.
GGGGGUAUAGCUCAGCUGGGAGAGCAGCAGACUGAAGCCAGUUGCUCACAUGACAGGUCUUCUGAAGGUCCCGCGUUCGAUCCGCGGUACCCCCC